GUGGGGAAUAUUGGACAAUGGGGGGAACCCUGAUCCAGCCAUGCCGCGUGUGUGAAGAAGGCCUUUUGGUUGUAAAGCACUUUAAGCGAGGAGGAGGCUACCGAGAUUAAUACUCUUGGAUAGUGGACGUUACUCGCAGAAUAAGCACCGGCUAACUCUGUGCCAGCAGCCGCGGUAAUACAGAGGGUGCAAGCGUUAAUCGGAUUUACUGGACGUAAAGCGCGCGUAGGUGGCCAAUUAAGUCAAAUGUGAAAUCCCCGAGCUUAACUUGGGAAUUGCAUUCGAUACUGGUUGGCUAGAGUAUGGGAGAGGAUGGUAGAAUUCCAGGUGUAGCGGUGAAAUGCGUAGAGAUCUGGAGGAAUACCGAUGGCGAAGGCAGCCAUCUGGCCUAAUACUGACACUGAGGUGCGAAAGCAUGGGGAGCAAACAGGAUUAGAAACCCGGGUAGUCC
This 451-nucleotide ribosomal RNA is filed under the name uncultured bacterium. RNAcentral's name for it is "partial 16S ribosomal RNA". It matches the Rfam family "Bacterial small subunit ribosomal RNA", at positions 354 to 796 of the family's 1533-position model. The record is from RNAcentral.